UUCUCAAUUCCGCCCCAGACAACCAAUUUUAAUUCUCAAAUGAGAUACCAUUUCAUCACAUAAUCCAUAAUAAAUCCACAAUUAAAGGGAUCAAGCAAUAAUAAAAAACAAGCAAUAAUUCACAUCAUCACAGAUCAACCAAACCAACAUAAUAUUCAAUCCAAUGCACCGGAUAUCAUCAACAAUGAAAUAAAAAGAGGUGAAAGAGUAGAAUUAGACCUCAUUUGAAGCUUUAUUUUUUUUACAAUUAAAUAGAGGAGCUUCGCGGAUUAGGAACCUCGAGCUGGCCCAACCUCAAAUAUCAAUCUCCAACUCGGUAUCAGAAGUCAAAACCCGAAUAGAUUUGAAAAAGAAAUUUCAAAGCCAAACUAAGACUGAAUUUACGAAAGACCAAGCAAUCCGUACUCGUUAUCAUGAACUCUCACAGAAAUUGACUUUAAUGUUGUCGGACUCUACCCAACAAGGCCGAUCUCAGCUAAUUUUGAUGGCUGGUUUGGAUUUUGAUGAUGCAAAUAACGGGUUUCGAGUCGGUGAUGCUGAAUCAGAUGCGUAGCACAUGUUCCAGUAAGAUAGCUGCCAAAUAAAUUUGACACUAACUAGAUCUUCGCCCAUCCUUUUCUCUCUCUCUCUUCACUAGUCUCUCUCUUUGUUAUUCUCUCUAUAUGUCUCGCUCAAUCUCAUGAUACUCUCUCUGCUCAACCUCUCAUCUACUUUCACUCAAUUUUAUCCUAUUUUUUAUUCUCCAAUCCGAUGUGUGAGUGAGUGUAUUGGUUUAUUUCUGGGCGUGAGGUUGCUAUGGAGGUACGCUGGUGAGGGUAUUGAUGGUGAGGCAGCCUUUCCCUUUUCUUUUGUGAAGAUGAUAGAGUUUCUAUGUAAGGUCGUGGGAGUGUAGGAGUGUAAUUGUUGUUGGAAUCCUUCCCUGUGGGCCCAUUUGUGAAAUGAUUGUGUUUGAUAUAUUAUUGUUGAUGUGAAUGGAAGACAAAUAUAGUGGGGUAUUAGGUGAGUUCAGAGAGUUGUUUGAUUAGGUAGGGUAGGUGGGGUAGGGGUAGGGUAGGAGGUAGGUAGGGAGAGGUAAAAAUGUGUAGAAAUUAAUAUUUGGGCGGACAAAAUUACGUGUCUACAACAUGCCCCCUUUGAAUGUAAACAUGAAAUAUUUUCAGAAAAAGAAGUAGACAACGAGACAAAAUUUUGUCCCGAUCAUUAUUCAAAAAGAAUGAAACAGAAGAAAGGAGGAAAACCAAGUCUUGACUUUGGACAUCAUACUCAUCCUUAGUUAUGAGGGAAUCAAGUCACAGGUAUCUCUAAAGGAAGGAGAAGGAUUAUACCGAGUUGGAGAGUCGAGUGAGGUCCCAUCGAGGUUCCGGUCUGCAGCUCUGUUAUUACAUCAAAAAUAAAAAUUAUGAGUUAAAACAUAAAUGAAAUUACAAAAAUCCUAUCUAUGCAACUUCUUUUGGACUCUUAUCAUGAGUUUCAUCACCCUAUUCUUCAGGCGGGCACCUGACUUGCAAUUUCUUCAACUUGUUGUUUGGCUUUCAAUUUUUUCAACUUGUUGUUUGACUUUCAAUUUUAUCACCCUAUUCUUCAGGUGGGCUCCUGAAUUUCAAUUUCCUCACCCUGUUCUUCAAGCGUGCACCUGACUUUCAAUUUUAUCACUCUAUUCUUCAGGCAGGCUCCUGAAACCAAAAUAAAAGCUAAAACAAAAAUUAUCCCAAACGAAGAUUAUGAUAAAGAAAGAUUUCAUUCAUUCAUUUUAGUUAAAAGUAAUGUCCUAUUUUCCAGGAAGGUCCUAAAAAUAAAGUAAAAUCCCAUUUUCCAAGAGGGUCCUAAACAUAAAGUAAAAUCUUAUUUUUCAGGAAGGUCCUGAACAGAAAGUAAAGUCCCAUUUUUCAGGAGGGUCCUAAAAAGAAAGUAAAUUCUCAUUUUUAUGAGGGUCCUGAAUAGAAAGUAAAGUCCCAUUUAUCAACAGGGUCCUGAACAGAAAGUAAAAUCCCAUUUUUAAGGAGGGUCCUAAACAGAAAGUAAAAUCUCAUUUUUCAGGAGGGUCCUGAACAGAAAGUAAAAUCUCAUUUUUUAGGAGGGUCCUGAACAGAAAGUAUAGUCCCAUUUUCCAGGAGGGCCCUGAGCAGAAAGUAUAUUCCCAUUUUUCAAGAUGGUCCUGAACAGAAAGUAAAAUUUGCAUUUUUCAGGAGAGUCCAGAACAGCAAGUAAAUUCUCAUUUUUCAGGAGAGUCCUGAGCAGAAAGUAAAUUCUCAUUUUUCAGGAGAGUCCUGAACAUAAAGUAAAAUCCUAUUUUUCAGGAGGGUCCUAAACAGAAAGUAAAUUCCCAUUUUCCAGGAGGGUCCUGAACAUAAAGUAAAUUCCCAUUUUCCAGGAGGGUCCUGAACAGAAAAUAAAAUUCUUAUUUUUCAGGAUGAUCCUGAAUAGAAAGUAAAAUCCCAUUUUUUAGGAGGGCCUGAGUAGAAAGUAAAAUUCUCAUUUUUUUAGGAGGGUCUUGAACAGAAAGUAAAAUUCCAUUUUUUAGGAGGGUCCAGAACGAAAUAUAAAUUAUUAUUUUCUAGGAGGAUCCUGAACAUAAAGUAAAUUCUCAUUUUCCAAAAGGGUCCUGAAUAGAAAGUAAAAUCCCAUUUUUUAGGAGGAUCCUGAGCAGAAAGUAAAAUUCUCAUUUUUUUAGGAGGGUCUUGAACAGAAAGUAAAAUUCUAUUUUUCAGGAGGGCCCAGAACGAAAUGUAUAUUCCCAUUUUCUAGGAGGAUCCUGAACAGAAAGUAAAGUCCCAUUUUUCAGGAGGGUCCUGAAGAGAAAGUGAAGUCCCAUUUUUCAGGAGGGUCCUGAACAGAAAGUAAAAUCCUAUUUUUUAGGAGGGUCCUGAACAGAAAGUAAAAUCCCAUUUUCCCGGAGCGUCCUGAACAGAAAGUAAAUUUCCAUUUUCCAGGAGGGUCCUGAACAGAAAGUAAAUUCCUAUUUUUAGGAGGGUCCUGAACAGAAAGUAAAGACCUAUUUUUUUAGGAGGGUCCUGAAUAGAAAGUAAAAUCCCAUUUUUCAGGAGGGUCGUGAACAGAAAGUAAAAUCCCUUUUUUCAGGAGGUCCUGAACAGAAAUAAAAAUCUAAUUUUUUAGGAGGGUCCUAAACAAAAAGUAAAAUCCCAUUUUCUAGGAGGGUCCUGAACACAAAGUAAAUUCCCACUUUUCAGGAGGGUCCUGAACAGAAAGUAAAAUUCUAUUUUUUAGGAGGGUCCUGAACAGAAAGUAAAAUUCCAUUUUCCAGGAAGGUCCUGAACAUAAAAUAAAUUCCCAUUUUCCAGGAGAGUCCUGAACAGAAAGUAAAAUUCUCAUUUUUUAGAAGGUAACUGAACAGAAUGUAAAGUUCCAUUUUUUAGGAGGGUCCUGAACAGAAAGUAAAAUCCCAUUUUUCAAUUGGGUCCUGAACAGAAAGCAAAAUCUUAUUUUUUCAGGAGGGUCCUAAACAGAAAGCAAAAUCCCAUUUUUCAGGAGGUUUUGAAUAGAAAGUAAAUUCCCAUUUUCCAGGAGGGUCUUGAACAGAAAGUAAAAUCCUAUUUUUCAGGAAGGUCCUGAAUAUAAAGUAAAUUUCCAUUUUCCAGGAGCGUCCUGAAUAGAAAGUUAAAUUCUAUUUUUUAGGAGGGUCUUGAACAGAAAGCAAAAUCUCAUUUUUCAGGAGGGUCUUGAACAGAAAGUAAAUUCCUAUUUUCCAAGAGGGUCCUGAACAAAAAGUAAAUUUCUUUUUUCUAGAAGCGUCAUGAACAGAAAGUAAAAUUCUAUUUUUCAAGAGGGUCCUGAACAAAAAGCAAAAUCUCAUUUUUAGGAGGGUCCUGAACAGAAAGUAAAUUCUCAUUUUUUUGGAGGGUCCUAAACAGAAAGUAAAAUUCCCAUUUUUCAGGAGUGUUCUGAGCAGAAAGAAAAGUCUCAUUUUUCAGGAGGGUUCUGAGCAGAAAGGAAUGUCUCAUUUUUUAUGAGGGUCCUGAACAAAAAUUAAAGUUUCAUUUUUCAGGAGUGUCCUGAACAGAAAGUAAAGUCCCAUUCUUCAGGAGGGUCCUGAAUAGAAAGUAAAGUCUCAUUUUUCAGGAGGGUCCUGAACAGAAUGUGAAGUCCCAUUUUUCAGGAGGGUCCUGUAUAGAAAGUAAAGUCCCAUUUUUCAGGAGGGUCUUGAACAGAAAGUAAAGUCCCAUUUUUCAAGAGGGUCCUGUACAGAAAGUAAAAUCCUAUUUUUUAGGAGGGUCUUGAACAGAAAGUAAAAUCCUAUUUUUCAGGAGGGUCCUAAACAGAAAGUAAAAUCCCAUUUUUUAGGAUGGUCCUUAAUAGAAAGUAAAUUUCCAUUUUUCAGGAGGGUCCUGAAAAUAAAGUAAAUUCCCAUUUUCCAGGAGGGUCCUGAACAGAAAGUAAAAUCCCAUUUUUAGGAGGGUCCUGAACAAAAACUAAAAUCCCAUUUUUUCCAGGAGGGUCUUGAACAUUAAAUAAAAUCUCAUUUUUCAGGAGGGUCUUGAAUAUAAAUUAAAUUUCCAUGGAUGUGCUUUUCCAAUCGUUGCUAAAUUAAGUAAAGCAAAUUUGCCCCUGUUUUAACAAAGAAAAUUUGUCAGUUAAAAACAUAGUGUUGGCUUGCAGCACUUGGUUGUCCCGACACCUGCUCUAGUGUCCAUUUCCCUCAUUUUGUUUUGGAUUGUUGGCACUUUCCCUUGCUUUGUCACGUCAUCCAAACUUAAAUUAUUAAGAGUGACCCUGAAACAAACACAGUAUUUCUACUUUGCCAUGCUUCUCAGAUAAACCCUUUGAACCUAGAUAUUUCCAUAAAUUCCUAGACUUGUCUAUUGACAAAACUUUCUGCAUGCCUUAUUUCAGCUCACAAUCAUGUCUCUUUCAUGUGUUGGCAUUUUGUCUUGCUUUGUGUAAUUGAAGAAGCUACUAGCCAGUUUUGAAAUCUUUUCUCACUUGUUUUGAUAUGGACUUGACUCAAAGAUAAGAUAAAAAUGACAAUGACUUUUAUUUGGACAAUUGACUCAAGAAAAAAAUAAAAUAAAAGUAAAGAGAAGAAAAAAAAGACAAUAAAUGUCCUUAUUUGAAAUAAAAAAAUGAAAAACUUCAUCUAAAAAUGAUAGUCAACUCUAAUGAUUAUGCCAUGCAUUUUGGAUUAAGCUCCCUGAUCUUUCCAUCCAAACUUUCUACCAAUUGUUCUUGAGUUAAUGGCCAUGAAACUGAGUUGUUUCCUUAGGUCAAUGUCAUUUAAGACCUCAUUCGGCUAGUGUCACCUUGAAGGGUUUUUGUCAACAAGCCUCUCUCAUUUUCAUUUCUCAGUUCACCAUUGUCUUAUGGCGUUUGUGAGGGUUUUUCACCAUUGAGACUCUCUUAUUUUCAUUUCUCUCAGCUCACCAUCGUCUUACGGUGCCCAUGAAGGUUUUCACUAAUAAGACUCUCUCAUUUUUUAUUUCUCUCCCGAUUCUUAUUGUUGAGGAAUAUAAGUAAUUUCCAAAAUGCGUCAUCACAUUCAUUGCAUACUUAGUCUUAACAUUCUCAAAGAUUGAUCUGAAGGUCUUUCUUUGGUUCUAACUUGGCUUUUGGAUAUAGUUAGAAAGAAAGGAUGGCAUGGGGUCCAAACGACAUUUGAAGUGGGGUAGGACUUACAACUUUUGGAAUUGACUCAAAUAAUGAGAAUUAACUCAUGCCCCAGUUUUUUUGACCGGGUGACUCUAAAUUGUUUAUUUGGUUGGACCGAGCCCUUAGUAGGGCAGCCUACAUACCUCACUCCCGAGAGAGGAGAAUCAAGUCAUGCGUAGUUCUGGCAGCUCGUUCUGUUGCUUGAUUCUGAUUUUUUCUCUCUUUUUUUUUCCUUUAUUUUCACUUUUUUGAACAUAUUUUCUUUAUUUUUUUCUCUUUUUUUGUUGAAAUUUUUCUGACUCAAUUUCUUGCUCGACACUUUUCUUUUGAGCUUUGCUGACUCUAUCUUGAUUCCAAAAGAGGUGUAUGAAAGAAGAUAAAACUAAGGCUCAGAUAGGGUAAACAAGGAUAACACAAUGUUUGGAUAACAGAAUAAAAUGCCUUCAUCAUAUCAAUCCUUGAAAAUUCCAAUACACAUCAUGCAAUAUGAAAUGAAAGAUAAAGAUCAUUUGUGACACUUUAAAAACACAAACUUUAAUUGAGCAUGUGUGCCACUUCUUUCUUCUAUAUUUGUCAAACAUAUAACUCAACCUUUGUUGUACAUCCCUCACAUUGAAUGACUCAUGCUAUUAUGGAAUUGAUUUUUUUUCCUGUUCCUCUUGAUAUAAGAUUAUGCAGCCAUUGUUUGACCUAAUUGAGACAUGUCUUCGAUUGAUGACCAAGUUAUUCUUGUGACUCUCAUAAUAAUCGUCUUAAUUUUCAAAGAAGGUUUCAACUUGUCACCAUAUGUCUCAGCACUCUACCUAUUUUCUUAGAUGCUCUCUUUUCCUAACUUUAACUCUCUGAUUCAAUGCUUUAUGAUUAAGUUAGAUUUUAGGAUCUGGUUAAAAAUUCCGUAGGCAUGUCAUAACACUAGAAUCAACGUAAAAUACAUUGUGUAAAGAAGACAAACAAACAACUUAAAAUAAGACAAAACAAACAAGGGACACCACAUAUCAUUGAAAGGAAGGAUAGAAGUGUUUAAGCAAAGACGACAGAGAAACAAAACAAGAUAGAUCCCGAACUACAACCCUGAAAUAAUUUGGAAAACAUAAAAUAAAACAAAACAAACUAUAGACCUCUUCCUAGUAGGGAGAGGGGUAACUUCUCAAUUGCUCAGCCUGACAACUUAGCCACUGGUUUGCAUAUCAGUAUGACUAGAACUUCCACCAUGAUCAGACACAUUCCCUUCAAUAAAUAAGUUCUGGGUCAUCAUGUUUAACUCAUUGCUUCCCACAUAUUGUGCAGUACCAUGUGCUGGUGAAGAAUUCUGUGGGACGGUUGAGUGUCAAUGUUUUGCAGCACAAUCAAUUUUUCUUGAAUCAUCCUUUCUAUUUCUCUUUUUAAAGUACGACAAUCCUCAAUACUAUGACCCUGAACAUCAAAAUGAUAUACAUAUUGUACCUUAGGAUUAAAACUUCUUAAAUGUGGGUCAGGAGUAUACCCAAGAAGAGAAGUGAUCAUUCCUCACUGUGUCAAUCUCUAAAAUAAACUGGCAUACGACUCUUCAAUUGUUGUGAAACUAUCCCUCAAUUUUUGACUCAUUUAUUAUUUAACUUAGAUCAAACAUCGGGCGUAGAAGGUCUUUGGUAUGUUUUUGGAGUUGGAGGAUGACUUUGAGGAGUUGGUGUGCGCCAUUGUGGGUAAGGAGGGAGUUAAACAUAGGGCAGUGUGCAAUAUAGUAGAUAUGGAGGUAGGGAAACAGAGUAUAAUGGAUUUUGGGAGUGAUUAUGGAGAGCUUGGGUAUGAACUUGGGCUUGAGACUGACUGCAAUGACGAUGACUUCUUCUUAGAUGUGCCCACUUUCCUACUACAAUAGCAGUGUCAUCUUUCUCAUUCUUCUUCCCUCCAGGUUCUAUGAAUUGAUUACAAUAUUAUCCCAAAUGUUUCACGAUUCCUUAUGCCCAACUUUAUCCUUAAAUUUCGACAUCUUAAAGAUUGGAGGAAGAUUAGCACUUGAAGGCAUACCUCAGUCUUUGUAUGAAAAUAUCUUCUUUUCCAGCAGGUCCUAGAGAAUUUUUCAUAGAAUCUUCUAUACUCUUCAUUUUUCCAACCAUUUUCUCUGACUCUUCUGGCACAUGGGACUUCUGGUUAAGAAAUUUUGGUGGUCCAGUUAACUUAAAAGUAGGAUCAGGAGUAUAACGAUGAUCACUAAGAGUAUUAAAAAAGGGUCCAUUAGUAGCAUUAGAAAGCACAACUGUUGGUCGGUUGGCCAAUAUAGAAACCUCAGUAGGGUAUUGAGCAACAAGAUCACAGACGACAUAUGGUGUGGUGAAUGUAGCAGGCUUAUACUGAGGAGCUCGAGGAAAAGUGGUGGAAGUAUUGUGAUGCUUUUGGCUUGGAAUGAAUUCUGAGUCAUGUUGUGGUGCAUCAACAGCAGUAGGACACUGACUUUGUAAUUUUGGUGGAAAACUUGAGGUAGUUGUAAGAUCAAUAGUAGAAAAUAGAGAAGGAGGAAACCCACUGGCCCAAGCUCGAUGCAUUUCUGUCAUUUGUUGCCUUAGUCUCCUAAUCUCUUGCUUUAAACACUUAUUUUCAUAACUCAUUGUUUGAUCCAUGAUGCCACUCUCUAUAUCUUUGUUGGACACAACAAACCCUUUGAAUUUGGUGUGAUGUGGAGGACCAUCCAGAAUGCCACAAACCAACCACCUUAAACUGACUAAAAAAAAAAAAAAUGUGUUAGAGUUCAACACUUUUUCAAAACUCUUUUUCCUUUUUUCUUUGAAAAGAUCACUGAACCCAAGAGGGGUGCCUACGUAUCUCACUCCCGAGAGAGGAGAAUCAGGUGUGCGUAGUUCGUGAAGUCUUGCCAAAAUAGCCAAUUAACCUCUUUUUCUUCUUUUUCUUGGAACUUUAAGAAGAAAAGAAAAUAACAAAUUAUCAAAACAAUUGACAAAAAUCUUUUUUGCAUUUUUCAGGUUUAAAUCCCUACACAAAAAUGAAACUUAUAACUACCAAAGAAAAAUCUUUUUGGGUUUUCAAUUUUGAAUUUCAUAUGAAAAUGAAACUUGAAACUAUUAAAGAAGAAAAAAUCUUUUUGUCGUUUUCUUUUAGAAGAUGUAUAUGAACACCUACUCUAAAUGAAGAGUGAAGAAAAUCGUUUUGAAUUUUUCAGAUUUCUAUACAAAAUGAAACCUAUGAUUACCAAAGAAAAAUCUUUUGGGGUUUACAAUUUUCAAUUUCAUAUGAAAAUAAACUUGAAACUUUAAAGAAAAUCUUUUUCUAGUUUUCUUUUAAAGAAGUAUAUAACACCUACUCUAAUAAAGAGUGAAUAAAAUCUUUUUCGGAUUUUCAAAUAAGAUCCCGGAAUCAACAAUUGGCUGCCUACGUAUUCAGGGGUACGCAGUUCAUCCAAAUUGGACAAUUAAGGAUUUAAUAACCAACACCCUAACUUGAGAGACACGAGCACAAACAGAAGAUGCAAAACGUCAAUAAAAUCUUUUUGAGUUUUCAAUUUGACACUUCACAUAAAAAUGACACCAACAACUAUGAAAGAAAAAUCUUUUUGGUAUUUUUGUGAAAUGUACGAAACUCCUACAAAUUUUUUUUGCAUUUUUCUUUUAUAAAAACUUCUAUGAAUGAAAAAUCUUUUUGAAGUUUUCGAAUUGUGAAUACAUGCUAACGAGACAAAGGAAAAAUCUUUUUGAUGUUUUUGUUUUUGAGAAAUAAGUGCAAAAGGUAAAAAUCUUUUUGAAUUUUUGGAUUGUGAAGAACAAAAGCCAUAAAGAACUCUAAAAAUAAACCACUAAACUCUAUUUUUGACUCACUAUUUUUUUAACGCACCUUUUAACACAUACUUUCCUCGAAUCAGUCCGUCAAAUGACCACGUUACCCUCAAAGAUGCAGCAUUUAACACAUAGGGAUGCUUUACAGGUGAGUCUCCUACAAAGGACCAAAUGGGCCCCACUAUGACCUAAAGGCUGACCUACGCUGGGGUUUACUAACAAGGCUAUUCGGGGGUGCGUAUGGUCGAUAGUGGCUGCGAAAGCUUUCCACCCACUCCAUAACACCAACGGCUCCCCCUACUAAAAUAAGGGUGACUCAACUAGUGUUCGUGUGCACGACGUGCACUCUGGGACUUGUUGCAAAAAGAAUGACUCGGGUUUUGCACAUGAUGCCAGAUAUAAAGCGGUAACACAUAAGCUAAAAAUUGUAAACAAAGAGCACGUAGGCAUUCAACAAUGAUAAAACAAUAACACAAAACAACACAAACACAAUGUCUAUACACCUAUAGUGCCAAACUAAGCCGAUACAACUCCAAAAUAAGCUCGAAUUCUGAAAAAAUAUCCCAGCAGAGUCACCGGAGCUGUCACACCCUCUUUUUAACCCCAAAAAGAUUAGAUUUAGGUUUGAAAGGGUUUUUACUAUCAAAGUGACGAAGAAUGAAAAUUUAUUUUGAAAAAGAAUUAUUUAUAUUUUUUUAUUCAGAGUUGCCACUUGACAUAAAUCAGGUGUGCCAAGUCACCUUUGAAAAUUCUUUUCAAAAUAUUUUUGACUCUAUAACUGAUCCGCGAACAGAGAUUCUGACUAAGGAAUUCUGUUGACCAAGGGGAAGGUGUUAGGCACCCCUCGGUCCCGUGGUUCGACCACAGUCGCUUGGUAGAGCGUAUCGGCUAAUUUGACAUUACCAAUGUAUAAACCACACAAAACACAUAAAACAAUCAAUCGAGCACACAAAACAAAACAAAUCCAAAAUAUAGUAUUCAGUCCAAUUAUACAGACCCAAAAAAUGAAAAAUACGGAAAUGUAAACCUACUCUAUUCUUAACUAAUCCUAAACUAAUCCUAAACCAAAAUCCACCCGAUGUUUCGGGCCUUGACCGUGCGCCGUCUUUGAGUACAAGAUAUUUCGGGGCAUUCCCCGGAUAAAUCAAUACAAAUUCUUUGAGGCAUUCCCCGGAUAAAUCAAUACAAAUUCUUUGAGGCAUUCCCCGGCCAAAUGAGUACAAUUUUUAAUACGAGAAAAUCAAAGUAUUCAACCGAAUUUCAAACAUUCAACAAACUCAAAGAUUCUAAACUUUGCCUACCCAACCUACGUUUGCCUAUCAUGAUACUAUCAAGUUUGAUUAAUAUUGCAUUUCAAGUCAAACAAUAAGCCAUGAAUCAGACCAACCAAAAUUCACUUUUUAUCAACUUCUCAAUUCCUCCCCAAAUAACCAAUUUUUAUUCUAAAAUGAGAUACCAUUUCAUCACAUAAUCCAAAAUAAAUCUAUAUUCAAAGGGAUCAAGAAACAAUAAAUAACAAAAAAUAAUUCACAUCAUCACAGAUCAACCAAACCAACACAAUAUUCAAUCCAAUGCAUAGGAUAUCAUCAAUAAUGAAAUAAAAAGAGGUGAAAGAGUAGAAUUAGACCUCAUUUGAAGCUUUAUUUUUUUUUUCAAUUAAACAGAAUAGCUUCGCGGAUUAGGAACCUCGAGCUAGCCCAACCUCAAAUAUCAAUCUCCAACUCGGUAUCAGAAGUUGAAACCCGAAUAGAUUUGAAGAAGAAAUUUCAAAGCCAAACUGAGACUAAAUUUACGAAAGACCAAGCAAUUCGUACUUGCUAUCACGAACUCUCACCGAAAUUGACUUAAAUGUUGUCGAACUCUACCCAACAAGGCCGAUCUUAGAUAAUUUUGGUGGCUGGUUUGGAUUUUGACGAUGCAAAGAAUGGGUUUCGAGUCGGUGAUGUUGAAUCAGAUGCAUAGCGCGUGUUCCAGCGAGAUAGCUGCCAAAAAAAUUUGACACUAAUCGGAUCUUCGCCCAAACUUUUCUCUCUCUCUCUUCGCUAGUCUCUCUCUUUGUUAUUCUCUCUGUAUGUCUCACUCGAUCUAACGAAACUCGCUUUGCUCAACCUCUUCUCUACUUUCAGUCAAUUUUAUCCCAUUUUUUAUUCUCCAAUCCGAUGUGCGAGUGAGUGUAUUGGUUUAUUUCUGGGCGUGAGGUUGCUAUGGGGGUACGCUGGUGAGGGUAUUGAUGGUGAGGCAGCCUUUCCCUUUUCUUUUAUGAAGAUGAUGGAGUUUCUAUGUAACGUCGUGGGAGUGUAGGAGUGUAGGAGUGUAAUUGUUGUUGGAAUCCUUCUCUGUGGGCCCAUUUGUGAAAUGAUUAUGUUUGAUGUACUAUUGUUGUUAUGAAUGGAAAACAAAUAUAGUAGUGUAUUAGGUGAGUUCAGAGAGUUGUUUGAUUAGGUGGGGUAGGUGGGUAGGGGUAGGGUAGGAGGUAGGUAGGGAGAGGUAAAAAUGAGUAGAAAUUAAUAUUUGGGUGGAUAAAAUUAUGUGUCUACAUAUAUUAUAUUUAAAAUUAUGAUUUUA
This 11930-nucleotide long non-coding RNA is filed under the name Capsicum annuum. RNAcentral's name for it is "long non-coding RNA (CANN_LNC021925)". Lineage: Eukaryota; Viridiplantae; Streptophyta; Magnoliopsida; Solanales; Solanaceae. The record is from RNAcentral.